Molecule: ribosomal RNA, 253 nt
Filed under: uncultured bacterium
Lineage: Bacteria
Description: partial 16S ribosomal RNA
Rfam family: Bacterial small subunit ribosomal RNA
Source: RNAcentral
GACGGAGGGUGCAAGCGUUGUUCGGAAUUACUGGGCGUAAAGCGCGGGCAGGUGGCCCCUUAAGUCCUUUGUGAAACUCCGGAGCUCAACUCCGGACGUGCAUAGGAUACUGGAGGGCUAGAGACUGGUAGAGGCGAGCGGAAUUCUCGGUGUAGCGGUGAAAUGCGUAGAUAUCGAGAGGAACACCUGCGGCGAAGGCGGGUAGCUGAGCCGACACUGACGCUGAGGCGCGAAAGCCAGGGGAGCGAACGGG